Molecule: ribosomal RNA, 459 nt
Filed under: uncultured bacterium
Lineage: Bacteria
Description: partial 16S ribosomal RNA
Rfam family: Bacterial small subunit ribosomal RNA
Source: RNAcentral
CCUACGGGCGACAGCAGUGAGGAAUAUUGGUCAAUGGCGGGAAGGCUGAACCAGCCAAGCCGCGUGAAGGACGAAGGUGCCAAGCAUUGUAAACUUCUUUUGUCAAGGGACAAAAUCAGGCUCGAGAGCCUGAACGAGGGGACUUGAAGAAAAAGCAUCGGCUAACUCCGUGCCAGCAGCCGCGGCAAUACGGAGGAUGCGAGGGUUAUCCGGUUUUAUUGGGUUAAAGGGGUGCGUAGGCGGGCUGUUAAGUCAGCGGGAAAAGCCCGGGGCUCAACCCCGGCGAGUCGUUGAAACUGGCUGUCUUGAGAUGUCGAGGGGUAUGCGGAAUGCGCAGUGUAGCGGUGAAAUGCUUAGAUAUUGCGCAGAACACCGAUGGCGAAGGCAGCAUACCGGCGGCGAUCUGACGCUGAGGCACGAAAGCGUGGGUAUCGAACAGGAUUAGAUACCCGAGUAGUC